UACGUAGGGGGCAAGCGUUGUCCGGAUUUAUUGGGCGUAAAGGGCUCGUAGGCGGUUUGUCACGUCAGGAGUGAAAACUCGGGGCUCAACCCCGAGCCUGCUUCUGAUACGGGCAGACUAGAGGUAUGCAGGGGAGAACGGAAUUCCUGGUGUAGCGGUGAAAUGCGCAGAUAUCAGGAGGAACACCGGUGGCGAAGGCGGUUCUCUGGGCAUUACCUGACGCUGAGGAGCGAAAGUGUGGGGAGCGAACAGG
This 253-nucleotide ribosomal RNA is filed under the name uncultured bacterium. RNAcentral's name for it is "partial 16S ribosomal RNA". It matches the Rfam family "Bacterial small subunit ribosomal RNA", at positions 524 to 776 of the family's 1533-position model. The record is from RNAcentral.